RNAcentral lists this ribosomal RNA (1422 nucleotides) under metagenome. Its description in RNAcentral is "bacterial LSU rRNA". It matches the Rfam family "Bacterial large subunit ribosomal RNA", at positions 1503 to 2925 of the family's 2925-position model. The record is from RNAcentral.
AUUUCUGGUCUAAGUAUAAAGAGGGUAUGGUUGGCAAAUCCGCCAUAUAUUAACCUUGAAAUAUGAUGGGUAGGGGCAACCCGAAUUAUCGGAACGCUUUGCUUCCAAGAAAAGCUUCUAAAGAUAUGAUUAUGGUACUCGUACCAAGAACGAACACACGUGGUCGGGGAGAAUAUCCUCAGGCCAGCGAGAAAACUAUAGUUAAGGAACUCGGCAAAUUAGCCCCGUAAGUUCGCGAGAAGGGGUGCCUAGGGCAACCUAGGCCGCAGUGAAGAGACACCAGCAACUGUUUAUCAAAAACACAGCUCUAUGCAAAGGCGUAAGCCGAAGUAUAUGGGGCGACGCCUGCCCAGUGCUCCAAGGUUAAGAGGAGGGGUUAGCCAGUAGUAAGAUACUGGUGAAGCUCUGAAUUGAAGCCCGAGUGAACGGCGGCCGUAACUAUAACGGUCCAAAGGUAGCGAAACUCCUUGUCAGGUAAGCUCUGACCCGCAUGAAAGGCGCAAUGACUGGUGUACUGUCUCAACUAUAGACUCGGUGAAAUCUUAGUACCGGUGAAGAUGCCGGUUACCCGCAACUAGACGGAAAGACCCCGUGGAGCUUUACUGCAACUUGAUAUUGGGUUUUUCUCUUAUUUGUACAGGAUAGGUGGGAGACUGUGAAUCCCAGGCGUCAGCCUGGGAGGAGUCGUUGGUGGGAUACCACCCUAAUGAGCGGAAAAUUCUAACUUAUUGGUUUACAGCCAAAAGGACAGUGUCUGGUGGGUAGUUUGACUGGGGCGGUCGCCUCCUAAAAAGUAACGGAGGUGUUCAUAAGGUAUCCUCAGUAGGUAUAGAAAUCCUACGUAGAGCGUAAAGGUAUAAGGAUGCUUAACUGUGAGACAGACAAGUCGAACAGAUACGAAAGUAGGACUUAGUGAUCCGGCGGUUACCUAGUGGUAGGGCCGUCGCUAAACGGACAAAAGUUACCCCGGGGAUAACAGGCUAAUACUUCCCAAGAGAUCGCAUCGACGGAAGUGUUUGGCACCUCGAUGUCGACUCAUCGCAUCCUGGAGGUGAAGAAGCUUCCAAGGGUUGGGCUGUUCGCCCAUUAAAGCGGUACGUGAGUUGGGUUUAGAACCUCGUGAGACAGUUUGGUCCCUAUCUGUUGUGGGCGCAGGAAAUUUGCGAAGAUCUUCUCCUAGUACGCAAGGACCGGAGUGGACUGACCAAUGAUGUACCAGUUGUCAUGUCAAUGGCACGGCUGGAUAGUUACGUCAGGAAUAGAUAAGCACUGAAAGCAUCUUAAGUGCGAAGCUAACUUCAAGAUAAGAUUUCCCACCCGUGAGGGGUAAGAUACCUUCAAUACCAGGAGGUUGAUAGGUGGAAAAUGUAAGUAUAGUAAUAUAUUUAGUUAAUCCAUACUAAUUUAUCGAGGACUUAAAAA